Molecule: transfer RNA, 74 nt
Filed under: Vibrio sp. UCD-FRSSP16_10
Lineage: Bacteria; Pseudomonadati; Pseudomonadota; Gammaproteobacteria; Vibrionales; Vibrionaceae
Also listed under: 1 other name
Description: tRNA-OTHER
Source: RNAcentral
ACUGAUAUAGUUCAGUUGAUAGAGCGCACCCUAGUAAGGGUGAGAUCGGCGGUUCAAUCCGCCUAUCAACACCA